GCAACUUAUUUUUGUGCGUGUGUUUUAGAAACAAAUAAGCUCAUACUUUCGUUAUUUUCCCAGUAAACAUCGGUUGUCCUUUAGCAGUUGUUUCCUCUGACAACCACUAGAGGGUGCUGCAUCUAGCAUAUUUGCUACUGAAGAAGUGUUGUCCAAAUCAAACAAGGAAGAGAAUCCGAUUGUUUUCCUCUUAAAGUUUGAUAUUUUUCUUAUGCAAAUCAAAAGAGUCGUUUUGUUGUUUUUAUUCAUUUAUUCUUUUUUUUCUGUUUUAAUGGGAUCGGCAGAAUUUUUCUGUAAUGUCAAACUUUUCUCCCAAAAGUGCAAUUUAUACUCCAGAGCGACUUGUUCUUUGGGAAAUAUGGUAAUCGAUCCAUGGUUGAAAUUUGAACUUUGUUUUUAAAAUAAAACCUCCUUUGGCUGCUGUGAUGACCAUCUGCCAAUUCAAUGAAAAAAUUCACUUCAGAUACUCCAGUAAGUUGAGAUAUCAAGUGUGGGUCAAGCUUUAUGUCACCAUUAAAAGUACACCAAAAUAAUAACAUUUUAAGAUAAAUUUAUAAAAAAAAUGAUGCAUUUUUUUUUGUGGAGGAAGUGAUAAAAAUUCCUGCUGCCAGAAAAGUGAUUUACCUGAGAACAGAAAUCAGUUUGGUUGAAAAUCAGAUUUUUAUUUUUUUAACUCCAUACCGUCUUCUGCUGUGUCCCAACACAGAAAUAUUCAGUAUUUUCCAGCACUGCUGCCACAAAUAUUGUCUUUUCAAUUGUCCUAGAUAGUAAGAUAGAGGCAGGAGACUUCCACGCUCUGGGAAAUAAAUACUCUGCUCCAUUUCUCUCCACGAGGAAGUCAGAACACACAGGAGAGUGCAGAGCCUGCCUCACUCGUACAUUCAAAGGAGCACUUUUCUCCUUAAAUAGCUCUCCAACCUUCACGGCAUCUUCUUCCUUCCAGCGUUCACACGAGUGGCUGUAAAGAAGUUCAGUAAAAGGUCAAGUUCUGCAUGAACACUCGCUGGGAUGAAUCUGCUGAACGGCCUUCGACUCCCUUAUUGUUAAUGGAAACACGAGCCGUCCUGAGAGGAGCAAAUGUAGAAACGCUUAGUUCAGACGGGUUUUUCUUUAGUUUUUGAAAAUUUGCAAAUAAAAAUUGGAAAUCCAACUAAAUUCUGUCAGAAGUCACGUGUGUGCACUAAACUAAGGAGAAAUAUUUGGUGAGAAUCUUUUUUUUAAGGUUUAACAGGCAUUUUUUUUUAAAGAAUGAAAAUGUAUUUAUGUGAUUAUCUUAAUUUUAAUCAGUAUUUACUUUGUCAACUCUAAAAAGUUUAAUUAAAUUUGUAAAAACAGGAGGAGAAUUAAUUACUAUUGAGAUUAUAAUAGAUAAAACAGCAUCGGCCUACUUUGGUUGUUCUGUUUUGUUUUUUUUUAAACAUUUGUCAUAAUAACUGAAACUUUCUAGGUCAGUGUGAAACCUGCCACGAGUUCUAUGCUUUGAUUUGAUUAUUCUAAUGUUCAAUCAUCCUUACUAAAAACGGUAUCCUGAAAGGAGGCAGAUCAGACUGAUGUGUAAACUGUUCCUCACAAAGACAAAAAAAAAACAAAAA
Oryzias melastigma (Indian medaka) is the source of this 1592-nucleotide long non-coding RNA. RefSeq lists it as uncharacterized. The transcript is spliced from 2 exons. The record is from RefSeq and is a predicted model, not a curated record. NCBI's taxonomy places the organism in Eukaryota, Metazoa, Chordata, Actinopteri, Beloniformes, Adrianichthyidae.